UACGUAGGGUGCAAGCGUUAUCCGGAAUUAUUGGGCGUAAAGAGCUCGUAGGCGGUUUGUCGCGUCUGCUGUGAAAACGCGAGGCUCAACCUCGCGCCUGCAGUGGGUACGGGCAGACUAGAGUGCGGUAGGGGAGAUUGGAAUUCCUGGUGUAGCGGUGGAAUGCGCAGAUAUCAGGAGGAACACCCGUGGCGAAGGCGGCUCUCUGGUACGUGACUGACGCUGAGACGCGAAAGCGUGGGGAGCGAACAGG
RNAcentral lists this ribosomal RNA (253 nucleotides) under uncultured bacterium. Its description in RNAcentral is "partial 16S ribosomal RNA". It matches the Rfam family "Bacterial small subunit ribosomal RNA", at positions 524 to 776 of the family's 1533-position model. The record is from RNAcentral.